AGUUUCUUUGUUUGCCAGAGCACUUUAGAUAAGACCAUGGACACAGAUUUCUUGACAGAUGAGCAGAUGGAGCAAACAGAACAGAGGUCAUCAUGUUUAUUUCCAUCGGAGAGCUCUCAUUUCGUUCAGAAAACAGAAGAACCAUCUGCAGUUACACUGUACGAGCAGCAAAGAAAAGCAGAAGACCAGAGAGGUUUGCUGGAAGCGUUGGCCCGUAUAGAACAGGAC
This is a long non-coding RNA of Rhinichthys klamathensis goyatoka, 228 nucleotides long. RefSeq lists it as uncharacterized. Lineage: Eukaryota; Metazoa; Chordata; Actinopteri; Cypriniformes; Leuciscidae. The record is from RefSeq and is a predicted model, not a curated record. The transcript is spliced from 3 exons.